This is a non-coding RNA of Cyanistes caeruleus (blue tit), 977 nucleotides long. The record is from RefSeq and is a predicted model, not a curated record. NCBI's taxonomy places the organism in Eukaryota, Metazoa, Chordata, Aves, Passeriformes, Paridae.
GAAUGCUAUAGAACAGCAAGCUAUUCAUGAAGGGGAAUCCUGGGGUUCUUGUUGGUGUUGUCAUGGUGUAACAACUUUCCAUCUUAGGAAAACUCCCAAUGCUUUUCCAGCUCCAAAACCUAAGCCACAGGAAUUGUUUUUGGUACUUUGAACACCUGGUGUGUUUUCUAAAAAGCAUCAAAGCAGAGGAUCCAAAAUGUUUGCAUUUAAACUAGGUACACUCAGAACCUUCUUCUGUUUCUACUGGAGUACUGAGAGGGCCACAUCCAGCUGCCCAUGCAGCCCUGUGUACCUGUGCUCACAGAACAGGUUGUGGGGCUUCCAGCCCUGAAGAUACUGCAGCCUCCAUCCUGUUCUUGGACCUGCUUUGGGCAGAGAUUGGAGCAGGGAAAGGGAAAUCCACUUGCACCAGGUGGGAGCCUGCCCCUUUGCUUUGAACUUCAUCUGCUGGUGUCUGGUGAGGCUCCUGUUUGUGGGAACACUGUCCCUUGGAGCAGGCUUCUUCUGCUGCAGCAGCUGCUGCCCACCACAUCUCUAUGGUCACCUCAGAUUAAUAUUUUUCCACUUAUCACAUAGGUACUUCUGAGUCUUUCUGGUAAUGGAUAUUUGGCCCAUCUGAGCUUGUUCACCCUUUCUGUCCCCCAGAUCUCACAGCCUGGCCUUCAAGGGCUUGCAAAUAAAGCAAAAGUGUUAGAAAAUAAGGAUGCUCCUCAGAUACUGACAUACUGCUAAGCUGUCUCAGGGUAAUGUGGUUUUACUUUUAAAGGUAAAUUUAUGUUCUUCUACAGGUUUAUUUUUCUGGUUAUUCUUUGGCAUAAAGAGAAAUGUCUGGGGGCACCAAAUACAAAGCAGGAUCCAAUAAAGGCAGCUUGGGGAGGACGAUGAAUGAAUGAAUGAAUGUCGAUGUGUUGAGAUGACUGGGGGAAGUGCAGUGAGGAAGUAUGAAGAGAGAUGGAGGAGGUGGGAACAGCAACACA